UGGCAAAGUCGAACAGGAAGCUUUGA
Molecule: non-coding RNA, 26 nt
Filed under: Homo sapiens (human)
Lineage: Eukaryota; Metazoa; Chordata; Mammalia; Primates; Hominidae
Source: RNAcentral